Molecule: non-coding RNA, 46 nt
Organism: Trichobilharzia regenti
Lineage: Eukaryota; Metazoa; Platyhelminthes; Trematoda; Strigeidida; Schistosomatidae
Source: Rfam
GCACUGCUGAAGAGUCCCAAACUAGGGCGAAACAGCUGUCCAGUAC